AAUUCGUAACUAACACUUUGUCAUUCAACUCUCUCCCCUGAAUCUCAUUCGCCACUCUCACUUACGUAGGAUAAAAAAACAUGUAGAAUGUCAUGUAGGACAUGUGUGUCCAUUUGUUCAAGUUUAUACAAGUUUAAGUAUCUACUUGUGCACACCCAAAGUUGAAGAGUAUAAUUGUGAAUUGAAGCCAAGUUAAAGGGUAUAUUUAUGUAAAAAUACAUAAGUAUUCACUCAACCUAUGUCUGACAUCACAGAUACACACUUAUACUAUACUUAAGUCUUAUUACCCUCUAAUUUUUUUUAUA
Molecule: unclassified non-coding RNA, 305 nt
Filed under: Hevea brasiliensis (rubber tree)
Lineage: Eukaryota; Viridiplantae; Streptophyta; Magnoliopsida; Malpighiales; Euphorbiaceae
Source: RNAcentral